GAGUUUGAACCUGGCUCAGGAUAAACGCUGGCGGCGCACAUAAGACAUGCAAGUCGAACGAACUUAAUUCAUUCUUUUAGAUUGGAAGCGGUUAGUGGCGGACUGGUGAGUAACGCGUGAGCAACCUGCCUAUUAGAGGGGAAUAACAGUGAGAAAUCAUUGCUAAUACCGCAUAUGCUUACACUAUUGCAUGAUAGAGUAAGGAAAGGAGCAAUCCGCUAAUAGAUGGGCUCGCGUCUGAUUAGCUAGUUGGUGGGGUAGAAGCCUACCAAGGCGACGAUCAGUAGCCGGACUGAGAGGUUGAACGGCCACAUUGGGACUGAGAUACGGCCCAGACUCCUACGGGAGGCAGCAGUCGGGAAUAUUGCGCAAUGGAGGGAACUCUGACGCAGUGACGCCGCGUAUAGGAAGAAGGUUUUCGGAUUGUAAACUAUUGUCGUUAGGGAAGAAAAAAGACAGUACCUAAGGAGGAAGCCCCGGCUAACUAUG
Molecule: ribosomal RNA, 489 nt
Filed under: uncultured bacterium
Lineage: Bacteria
Description: bacterial SSU rRNA
Rfam family: Bacterial small subunit ribosomal RNA
Source: RNAcentral